This 752-nucleotide ribosomal RNA is filed under the name uncultured bacterium. RNAcentral's name for it is "bacterial SSU rRNA". It matches the Rfam family "Bacterial small subunit ribosomal RNA", at positions 8 to 790 of the family's 1533-position model. The record is from RNAcentral.
AGAGUUUGAUCAUGGCUCAGAAUCAACGCUGGCGGCGUGCCUAACACAUGCAAGUCGAACGAGAAAGUGGUAGCAAUACCAUGAGUAAAGUGGCGCACGGGUGAGUAACACGUGACUAACCUACCCUGGAGUGGGGGAUAACUGAGGGAAACCUUAGCUAAUACCGCAUAAUACCCACGGGUCAAAGGAGCAAUUCGCUCUGGGAGGGGGUCGCGGCCGAUUAGUUAGUUGGCGGGGUAACGGCCCACCAAGACGAUGAUCGGUAUCCGGCCUGAGAGGGCGCACGGACACACUGGAACUGAAACACGGUCCAGACUCCUACGGGAGGCAGCAGUGGGGAAUUUUGCGCAAUGGGGGAAACCCUGACGCAGCAACGCCGCGUGGAGGAUGAAGUCCUUCGGGACGUAAACUCCUUUCGAUCGGGACGAUUAUGACGGUACCGGAAGAAGAAGCCCCGGCUAACUUCGUGCCAGCAGCCGCGGUAAUACGAGGGGGGCGAGCGUUGUUCGGAAUUAUUGGGCGUAAAGGGUGCGUAGGCGGUUUUGUAAGUCUUAUGUGAAAUCUAUGGGCUCAACUCAUAGACUGCAUGAGAAACUGCAGGGCUCGAGUGUGGGAGAGGUGAGUGGAAUUUCCGGUGUAGCGGUGAAAUGCGUAGAUAUCGGAAGGAACACCUGUGGCGAAAGCGGCUCACUGGACCACAACUGACGCUGAUGCACGAAAGCUAGGGGAGCAAACAGGAUUAGAUACCCUGG